GACGAACGCUGGCGGCGUGCUUAACACAUGCAAGUCGAACGGAAAGGCCCUGCUUGCAGGGUGCUCGAGUGGCGAACGGGUGAGUAACACGUGGGUGAUCUGCCCCUUACUUUGGAAUAAGCCUGGGAAACUGGGUCUAAUACUGGAUAGGACCAUGCUGUAGGUGGUGUGGUGGAAAGAUUAGUUUCGGUAAGGGAUGAGCUCGCGGCCUAUCAGCUUGUUGGCGGGGUAAUGGCCUACCAAGGCGUCGACGGGUAGCCGGCCUGAGAGGGUGGACGGCCACAUUGGGACUGAGAUACGGCCCAGACUCCGACGGGAGGCAGCAGUGGGGAAUAUUGCACAAUGGGCGCAAGCCUGAUGCAGCGACGCCGCGUGGGGGAUGACGGCCUUCGGGUUGUAAACUCCUUUCAGCCAUGACGAAGCCUUCGGGUGACGGUAGUGGUAGAAGAAGCACCGGCUAACUACGUG
This 468-nucleotide ribosomal RNA is filed under the name uncultured bacterium. RNAcentral's name for it is "partial 16S ribosomal RNA". It matches the Rfam family "Bacterial small subunit ribosomal RNA", at positions 28 to 507 of the family's 1533-position model. The record is from RNAcentral.